RNAcentral lists this ribosomal RNA (460 nucleotides) under uncultured bacterium. Its description in RNAcentral is "partial 16S ribosomal RNA". It matches the Rfam family "Bacterial small subunit ribosomal RNA", at positions 338 to 795 of the family's 1533-position model. The record is from RNAcentral.
CCUACGGGCGGCAGCAGUGAGGAAUAUUGGUCAAUGGACGAGAGUCUGAACCAGCCAAGUCGCGUGAAGGAUGACUGCCCUAUGGGUUGUAAACUUCUUUUAUAUGGGAAUAAAAUGUUCCACGUGUGGGAUGUUGUAUGUACCAUAUGAAUAAGGAUAGGCUAACUCCGUGCCAGCAGCCGCGGUAAUACGGAGGAUCCGAGCGUUAUCCGGAUUGAAUGGGUUUAAAGGGAGCGUAGGUGGAUUGUUAAGGCAGUUGUGAAAGUUUGCGGCUCAACCGUAAAAUUGCAGUUGAAACUGGCAGUCUUGAGUGCAGUAGAGGUGGGCGGAAUUCGUGGUGUAGCGGUGAAAUGCUUAGAUAUCACGAAGAACUCCGAUUGCGAAGGCAGCUCACUGGACUGCAACUGACACUGAGGCUCGAAAGUGUGGGUAUCAAACAGGAUUAGAUACCCGGGUAGUC